UUAUCUCUCCUAGCGAGGAAAUUUGUGGAGGGAAUGUGAAACCUCACUAUCAGGAAUCUUCUAGCACCAGGGCGCGCAUUGGAAACUUGCUAUUGUCAAAGAGAAGCAACCUAAGGCUAACCAUCCCUAUACUUGGAUCCAUGUCUCAGCAACAGCAGCCGGGGGACUAUUUAUAGCCAGAAGGUUAGGCAGAAUAAGUGCAUCCAUGACUCCACAGUAACUCGACUUGUCCUGCUCAAGGACAAAAUCCACGUGAAAGCCUGCCUGAGAAAGAAUUAAAAUUCACACGUGAACCGUUUAGAACACAAACCACCAAGUCCUUCACAGUACACUCGUGUGUCCUUGCAACAUUACGGCAAUAAUGCAAUGAUUCACUACGAUCACAUGCGCACUCUCCACAACCAUCUGCAGCCAUUGGGGCCUACAUGGAAGACUACUCGCAAGACUACACAUUGGAGAUCUGCAAGCAAGUAGUCAUUUAUACAAUAGUCAUCACCCCAAGAGAAACAACAGAUACUUGUUCAGACGCAUCAAGUCUAUCGGUAAAAUUACAAGUCAAUACAACGACCCGAGACUACUCUAAAUUGAUAACGCCCGC
Molecule: long non-coding RNA, 598 nt
Filed under: Setaria viridis
Lineage: Eukaryota; Viridiplantae; Streptophyta; Magnoliopsida; Poales; Poaceae
Description: long non-coding RNA (SVIR_LNC002053)
Source: RNAcentral